This is a long non-coding RNA of Cucurbita moschata (crookneck pumpkin), 900 nucleotides long. RefSeq lists it as uncharacterized. The record is from RefSeq and is a predicted model, not a curated record. Lineage: Eukaryota; Viridiplantae; Streptophyta; Magnoliopsida; Cucurbitales; Cucurbitaceae. The transcript is spliced from 4 exons.
UCUCUCUUGUUCUUUUAGCCGAAUUCGUCCUUCAUCCCCUUCUUUUUCUCGCUUCAUCCCCUUCUUUCUCUCUAGAUACCAUUCCCAUAUUUCUCUCAUCCUCUUCUUCCUCUCGCUUCAUCCCCUUUUUUCUCUCUAGAUACUCUUCUGUCGUUCGUUUGCAUCAGUCUUAUGAUGGUGUCCCCUUGGUGCUUCAAAUUUUUCUCAUCAAAGUAGUUGAUUUGCAUUAGAUUUCAAGAUGGUGGGUCCAUUGGAAGGAGACAUGCAUUCAGUGGCUUGUAUACAAGAAACCGUAUUUCCCUCCCUAACUGCAAAUCAGACAAAAUAAAGCAAGUUCUGUGAGUAACAGGUAAUAAACAACCUAGUAGUGCAAUGGAUUUUGAAUUGCGUAAAUGUGCCAACAUCUCCAGGGGUGACAAAUUUUUGGAUGGUGCCUUCAAAGACAAACUUCUGUCUCAGCGUCAUUUAUGGUUAACAUCUAUAUAUUCAAGUGAUAAGAUGGAGAAAGUGGACAUAUUGUCAACCUUGGUAGAAGUUGCUCUGGAAAGAGGGCAAUGCUACAACAAUUAUUGCAUAUGGAUCACUUAGAGGAUUUCUUGAAAGCUCUAAUUGGCAAGCAACAACGAACAAUAAGGGUGGAACAUAGAAGAUAUUGAUGCCUUCUCGAAUACCUUUAGGGUUGGUAGAGUUGAUCGUAUAAAAAUCAAAGAUGUCACAUAUUUUGGAUUAUAAAUUUUUGUUCUGUUUAUUUUGUAUUUGGGUGAGGAGGAACUAAUUUGAUUAUUUGAAAAUUGUGGAAGUGUAACACGUCUAAUAUUCUUAGGUAGAUUUAGUUGAAUACUUUAUUUUGUAAUGUGUUAUCAGAUUUUAAAAUUUCAAUUAUGAAUAGAAGUCUCUUGA